RNAcentral lists this ribosomal RNA (422 nucleotides) under uncultured bacterium. Its description in RNAcentral is "partial 16S ribosomal RNA". It matches the Rfam family "Bacterial small subunit ribosomal RNA", at positions 360 to 774 of the family's 1533-position model. The record is from RNAcentral.
AAUCUUCCGCAAUGGACGAAAGUCUGACGGAGCAACGCCGCGUGAUUGAUGAAGGAUUUCUGAUCGUAAAACACUGUUGUUAGGGAAGAACAAGUAUCGGAGUCACUGCCGGUACCUUGACGGUAUCUGACGUGAAAGCCACGGCACACUACGUGCCAGCAGCCGCGGUAAUAAGUAGGUGGCAAGCGUUGUCCGGAUUUAGUGGGCGUAAAGCCCGCGCAGGCGGUCUUUUAAGUCUGAUGUGAAAUCUUCCCGCUUAACUGUAAGCGGUCAUUGGAAGCUGGGAGACUUGAGUGCAGAAGAGGAGAGUGGAAUUCCAUGUGUAGCGGUGAAAUGCGUAGAGAUAUGGAGGAACACCAGUGGCGAAGGCGACUCUCUGGUCUGUAACUGACGCUGAGGCGCGAAAGCGAGGGGAUCAAACA